UCCCUUUACGCAACAACAAAUCUAGUUACAAUCAACAAUUACGCAGGCGCCGUCAUAAAAUAUUCCCUGUUGACGCAACAGUGAGUGAGAGAGAGAGAGAUGGAAGGAAGCAGAAAGAAUGGGAAGAAUAGGAACCCAUGUCUGACGAUGCACCAACCAUGGGCUUCACUCCUUGUUCAUGGCGUUAAGCGCAUCGAAGGCCGCUCUUGGCCUGCCCCCAUCAGAGGUCGUAUUUGGAUCCAUGCUGCUGGUAAAGUUCCAGAUGCUGCUACCAUUAAAGCUAUGGAGGACUUUUAUCGGGAAAUCUAUGCUGUUAAUGGGAUUACAGAUCUCAAGUUUCCACAACAGUAUCCAGUUUCAAGACUUAUUGGUUGCAUUGAAGUGGUUGGUUGCCUUAGGCGUGAAGAACUAGCAUGCUGGAAUGAGGUGCCUGAAGGGGUGAGGCUAGAAGCACUAACCGAUUUUUGCUGGCUUUGUGAACAGCCACAAAAAUUGUGUGUUCCAAUUGAGAUGCGAGGUUUUCACGGUGUUUAUGACUUGGAAAGAAAGAUAUACGAGGCUGCUAUGGGAGAUCUUAUCCCAGUUGACAGUUCACUGCUCGUGAAGUUCCGACUUCCAAACCCACAAGAUCCUUUUUCCCUGAAGCCAGGAUCCAUUUCUGCAUGCUUCCCCAAAUCUAAAGCAUCUGAAAUUGAGAAAUCAUCAAGUCUCAGUGCAGCCAUAGCUGCUGCAAGUGCAGCAGCGACACAGUAUUCAAAGAAGGGUCAGAAUUUAGAAAAUAAUGCCUUUAACAGUAGGAAUACGAGGAAUUUUACAAGACAGUGGCAAUUGAAGAACAACUCUUCUGCUGAGCAUAAGAUGGUUUCCAAUGAAGUGGGCACUCUGGCUCGUCAUCAUAAUGAGGGCAACAGUGGUAGUUACCCUAAACAAUUUUUGCAUGCUGAAUCAAGCCACCGUCUCGGACCUCAUUCUAAGGACAUUAACGCAGGAAUGGAGCAGUUGUACAUUGAGUGGCAAUCCGAAAGACGAUGACAUCUGGAAUGAAUCUGGGUGUAUAUCUUGUGGUUUGAUAUCGUUAUCUGGCUCAUAAGAAUGAUAUUUGCUGCUGCAGUGAGAGGGCUGAGGCCUGAGUGAAUCUUGUAGACUCUGAGAAGAAUUAGAAUUGAAGAUGAAAACAGCAAUUUGGGUUUUAGUGAGUCUUUAUGUACAGAGAUGAAAAGACCGUGUUGUAUAAUUUUCUUCCUUCUUUUCUCAUAUGUACUAUAAAUCAAUCAUUUUUUGGUGCCCA
RNA transcript from Rhododendron vialii, 1288 nucleotides. RefSeq lists it as uncharacterized. The record is from RefSeq and is a predicted model, not a curated record. Lineage: Eukaryota; Viridiplantae; Streptophyta; Magnoliopsida; Ericales; Ericaceae. The transcript has 8 exons.